RNAcentral lists this ribosomal RNA (468 nucleotides) under uncultured bacterium. RNAcentral's name for it is "partial 16S ribosomal RNA". It matches the Rfam family "Bacterial small subunit ribosomal RNA", at positions 28 to 507 of the family's 1533-position model. The record is from RNAcentral.
GACGAACGCUGGCGGCGUGCUUAACACAUGCAAGUCGAACGGGAAGGCCCUGCUUUUGUGGGGUGCUCGAGUGGCGAACGGGUGAGUAACACGUGAGUAACCUGCCCUUGACUUUGGGAUAACUUCAGGAAACUGGGGCUAAUACCGGAUAGGAGCUCCUGCUGCAUGGUGGGGGUUGGAAAGUUUCGGCGGUUGGGGAUGGACUCGCGGCUUAUCAGCUUGUUGGUGGGGUAGUGGCUUACCAAGGCUUUGACGGGUAGCCGGCCUGAGAGGGUGACCGGCCACAUUGGGACUGAGAUACGGCCCAGACUCCUACGGGAGGCAGCAGUGGGGAAUAUUGCACAAUGGGCGGAAGCCUGAUGCAGCAACGCCGCGUGCGGGAUGACGGCCUUCGGGUUGUAAACCGCUUUCGCCUGUGACGAAGCGUGAGUGACGGUAAUGGGUGAAGAAGCACCGGCUAACUACGUG